This 336-nucleotide long non-coding RNA is filed under the name Ananas comosus (pineapple). Its description in RNAcentral is "long non-coding RNA (ACOM_LNC007102)". Lineage: Eukaryota; Viridiplantae; Streptophyta; Magnoliopsida; Poales; Bromeliaceae. The record is from RNAcentral.
UUUUAUACACAGCCACUACUCCGAACAGAGAUUCUUCAACCGAGAUUGAGUCUCCAGCGGAAACUAUUUCUGAUGCUCCACCUUUUUCCUCGGUAAUCUAUCAUUUCUUUAUUCGUCUUGAUCGUAAUCUUUUUCUCUGCUCAUCACUUUUGUUUAUUUCUAUUUUUAGUCAAUCCCUGCUUCUCCAUCGGUCCCAGUCUCCGACAAAAAACCGAUUGAAGUUGUUCAAGUCACUCCUCCGCCGUCCUCAAAACGGCGCAAGUCAGUGGCCAAAAGAAAAUUUCAACAAACCGAAUGCACACCUUCGGCUGAAGUCACCAAAGACAGAGCCGAAGA